UCUCAAUAUGUGUAGCCUGCCAUUAUUGUAGCCAUACCCCAUAAAGCCAAAACAAUGAUCACAUGCAUGCAUUUAUUAUGAUUGUAGAUUGGAACUUAACACCUCAAUCUCUAGCUUCUUGCUAUACAUGGGUUCUGAGUGUUUAUCAAUAUGAUGUUAUGAAGAGGGGCAAGACACUGGCAGCCAACCACGUGAGCUAAGUUUUUGACCGACAGCGCUUUCCAACAAUCAGAGGUUGAGUUGUGCACAGUUAGCUUUGCGCAGUCAGGUUAUAAACACAUUUUAGAACCCAUGUAUAAAGAAGAGAUUAAAGCACCAGCACAGUUGGGAUACUGUAUGAUAUUGAUAAAGCAUUUGCUUAGCCUUCAGACCCAUGUAAUUAAUGCCUGUUUCCUUUAUAGAACAGGAAGUAACAUUCAGUAAUACCUUGAGCAGCAUUUGCUAACUCUCUCUCUCUCUCUCUCUCUCUCUCUCUCUCUCUCUCUCUCUCUCUCUCUCUCUCUCUCUCUCAUGUACUUAUUUCUAAGGUGACCAAAAUCUGUUUCACUCUGCAGCACUUGUCCUGGAGGUUUUGUAGACAGAACUGGAAGUGACUGAAAGAAAACGGAGACUCAUUCUUUCAGCAAGGUGACCAAAAUCUGUUUCGCUCUGCAGCACUUGUCCCGGAGGCUUUGUAGACAGAGUGACUGAACGAAAACCUAAAUGAGAAAUAGGAACAACAUGUUUAGAAGAUGAAGUGUGGAAGCCUCGGCAGCUUCAGUAUGCUGUGUACCUCAUCUUGAACUCUUUCACAUGGUGAUUCCUACACAUAAUUGCACACUGUAUGUGUUUAGCUAUCCUGUCUUACAAAGACUUAUGCCAGCACUGUAUCUGCCUUUCCUCAAUACAAUGUAAAAAGUGCUGCAUAGACCAUUAGAGAAGCAAUGUCUCGUGACUUUUACUGUAUGUUUAUUUUUGAGCAAGUGUCAUUUGUUUUGUAAAAUAUCUUUGCAGAUUUUCUUUUCAUGCCUGGACACUUUUUUUUAUUUCAAAUAUUGCUUUGAAUUGAUGCAAAUUGAAGAACGUGAAUCCCUGGUAAUAAAGGAAGGUUGACCAGAAAAUCA
Molecule: long non-coding RNA, 1103 nt
Organism: Engraulis encrasicolus (European anchovy)
Lineage: Eukaryota; Metazoa; Chordata; Actinopteri; Clupeiformes; Engraulidae
Exons: 5
Source: RefSeq, a predicted model, not a curated record